GGAUCAGGUAGGAAUACCCGCUGAACUUAAGCAUAUCAAUAGGCGGGAGGGAA
Molecule: ribosomal RNA, 53 nt
Filed under: Phomopsis sp. ZJ14-2B
Lineage: Eukaryota; Fungi; Ascomycota; Sordariomycetes; Diaporthales; Diaporthaceae
Description: partial 28S ribosomal RNA
Source: RNAcentral